ACUUUUAAAGGAUAAAAGUCAUCCACUGGCUUUAGGCGCCAUAAACCCU
This 49-nucleotide transfer RNA is filed under the name Elgaria multicarinata. RNAcentral's name for it is "partial tRNA-Leu". Lineage: Eukaryota; Metazoa; Chordata; Lepidosauria; Squamata; Anguidae. RNAcentral also lists the same sequence under 2 other names. The record is from RNAcentral.